Molecule: ribosomal RNA, 533 nt
Filed under: Staphylococcus pseudintermedius
Lineage: Bacteria; Bacillati; Bacillota; Bacilli; Caryophanales; Staphylococcaceae
Description: bacterial SSU rRNA
Rfam family: Bacterial small subunit ribosomal RNA
Source: RNAcentral
AGAGAUAGAGUUUUCCUCUUCGGAGGACAAAGUGACAGGUGGUGCAUGGUUGUCGUCAGCUCGUGUCGUGAGAUGUUGGGUUAAGUCCCGCAACGAGCGCAACCCUUGAACUUAGUUGCCAUCAUUCAGUUGGGCACUCUAAGUUGACUGCCGGUGACAAACCGGAGGAAGGUGGGGAUGACGUCAAAUCAUCAUGCCCCUUAUGAUUUGGGCUACACACGUGCUACAAUGGACAAUACAAAGGGCAGCGAAACCGCGAGGUCAAGCAAAUCCCAUAAAGUUGUUCUCAGUUCGGAUUGUAGUCUGCAACUCGACUACAUGAAGCUGGAAUCGCUAGUAAUCGUAGAUCAGCAUGCUACGGUGAAUACGUUCCCGGGUCUUGUACACACCGCCCGUCACACCACGAGAGUUUGUAACACCCGAAGCCGGUGGAGUAACCAUUUUGGAGCUAGCCGUCGAAGGUGGGACAAAUGAUUGGGGUGAAGUCGUAACAAGGUAGCCGUAUCGGAAGGUGCGGCUGGAUCACCUCCUUU